RNAcentral lists this unclassified non-coding RNA (21 nucleotides) under Mus musculus (house mouse). RNAcentral's name for it is "oocyte_clustered_small_RNA12639". Lineage: Eukaryota; Metazoa; Chordata; Mammalia; Rodentia; Muridae. The record is from RNAcentral.
UCCGGGUUCACAGCGCAGCUU